UACGGAGGGGGCGAGCGUUUUUCGGAAUUAUUGGGCGUAAAGGGCGCGUAGGCGGCUGGGCAAGUCAAAGGUGAAAUCCCUCGGCUCAACUGAGGAACUGCCUUUGAAACUGCCUGGCUUGAGGCCGGGAGGGGGUAGCGGAAUUCCCAGUGUAGCGGUGAAAUGCGUAGAUAUUGGGAGGAACACCAGUGGCGAAGGCGGCUACCUGGACCGGUUCUGACGCUGAUGCGCGAAAGCGUGGGUAGCAAACAGG
Molecule: ribosomal RNA, 253 nt
Filed under: uncultured bacterium
Lineage: Bacteria
Description: partial 16S ribosomal RNA
Rfam family: Bacterial small subunit ribosomal RNA
Source: RNAcentral